GGCACUAUAGCCAAGUGGUUACGGCGAUAGAUUCGAAUGUAUGUUCAUCUAUUACUCUCUGAGUGCGCAGGUUCAAAUCCUGCUGGUGUCG
Molecule: transfer RNA, 91 nt
Filed under: Armillaria gallica
Lineage: Eukaryota; Fungi; Basidiomycota; Agaricomycetes; Agaricales; Physalacriaceae
Rfam family: tRNA
About the family: Transfer RNA (tRNA) molecules are approximately 80 nucleotides in length.
Source: Rfam by way of RNAcentral